GCACCUAUGGCAGAGUGGUCCAUUGCACCGGACUCAUAAUCCGUUUAGCCGUUGGUUCAAAUCCAACUAGGUGCA
Molecule: transfer RNA, 75 nt
Filed under: Stichococcus bacillaris
Lineage: Eukaryota; Viridiplantae; Chlorophyta; Trebouxiophyceae; Prasiolales; Stichococcaceae
Description: tRNA-Ile
Rfam family: tRNA
About the family: Transfer RNA (tRNA) molecules are approximately 80 nucleotides in length.
Source: RNAcentral